GAGCCAAUAGCUCAGCUGGUAGAGCAACGCCCUUUUAAGGCGUGGGUCGAAGGUUCGAAUCCUUCUUGGCUCA
Molecule: transfer RNA, 73 nt
Filed under: Fibrobacter sp.
Lineage: Bacteria; Pseudomonadati; Fibrobacterota; Fibrobacteria; Fibrobacterales; Fibrobacteraceae
Description: tRNA-Lys
Rfam family: tRNA
About the family: Transfer RNA (tRNA) molecules are approximately 80 nucleotides in length.
Source: RNAcentral